RNAcentral lists this ribosomal RNA (253 nucleotides) under uncultured bacterium. Its description in RNAcentral is "partial 16S ribosomal RNA". It matches the Rfam family "Bacterial small subunit ribosomal RNA", at positions 524 to 776 of the family's 1533-position model. The record is from RNAcentral.
UACGUAGGGUGCAAGCGUUGUCCGGAAUUAUUGGGCGUAAAGAGUUCGUAGGCGGCAUUGCAAGUAGGGUGUGAAAGCCCUCGGCUCAACCGAGGAAUUGCGCUCUAAACUGCAGUGCUCGAGGAAGCUAGAGGUGAGCAGAACAGAUGGUGGAGCGGUGAAAUGCGUUGAUAUCAUCUGGAAUACCGGAGGCGAAGGCGGCUCACUGGCCCGGUACUGACGCUGAGGUGCGAAAGCGUGGGGAGCAAACAGG